UACGUAGGGUGCGAGCGUUGUCCGGAAUUAUUGGGCGUAAAGAGCUUGUAGGCGGUUUGUCGCGUCUGCCGUGAAAAUACGAGGCUCAACCUCGGACUUGCGGUGGGUACGGGCAGACUAGAGUGUGGUAGGGGAGACUGGAAUUCCUGGUGUAGCGGUGAAAUGCGCAGAUAUCAGGAGGAACACCGAUGGCGAAGGCAGGUCUCUGGGCCACUACUGACGCUGAGAAGCGAAAGCGUGGGGAGCGAACAGG
RNAcentral lists this ribosomal RNA (253 nucleotides) under uncultured bacterium. Its description in RNAcentral is "partial 16S ribosomal RNA". It matches the Rfam family "Bacterial small subunit ribosomal RNA", at positions 524 to 776 of the family's 1533-position model. The record is from RNAcentral.